RNA transcript from Zea mays, 3660 nucleotides. RefSeq lists it as uncharacterized. The record is from RefSeq and is a predicted model, not a curated record. The transcript has 5 exons. NCBI's taxonomy places the organism in Eukaryota, Viridiplantae, Streptophyta, Magnoliopsida, Poales, Poaceae.
AUCUUUUGGUGCACGGUUCUGCCCAUCCGCCAUCAACGCGGACGCGCCCGUCAAGGAAGGUUGUCGCGUCAUAGAUCCCCAUCCUCCUUCCUCCCCAUCUGCUCCCCGCCAUCAACGCUCUCCAUGGAAGUCGAGUCCGCGAUGCUCGCGUCGUCCCUAAACCCCGCCCCGACUCUCUCCGCGUCCGCGACAACCCGAUUUCCAGCGUCCUCCACCCCGAAUCGCCGCCCCGGCUCUCUCCAUGGAAGGCGCGUCUGCGACAGCCCGAUCUCCGUGGAAGGCGUGUCUUCCUCCCCAGAUCGUCGUCCCGGCUCUCUCCACGCCCGUGACAGCCUGCUCUCUAUGGAAGGUGAGUCUGCGAUGCUCACGUGGAUUGGGUACCCCGCCCCCGCUCUCUCCAUGGAAGGCGUGUCUCCGAUAGCCGCAUCCUCCCUUGCGAACCGCGUGCGUCAUGGCAACACGGGCGAGGCGGUGGGGAGUCUGGUGGACGCGCAUCACGGUGAGACGAACGGGGGCAAGGGCAAGGGAUAUAUUUUCCAUCCGGGGCGGAUGUGGAGAGGUUCUUCAAACUCUGUGACCCUGGUGAGUGCGCUCGAUCUCUGGUCUUCCGUGGUUUUUCUGCUUGGGUUUCGUUGCUUUGGUGGGGGAUUGGAUCAUUGGAAGCUAAAUUUGGAGAAAUCUCCCUUUUCUCUGUCUCCUCUACCCUCACUCGACAUGCUUCAGAUUCGAUUAUUGGUGGCCUUACAGCUUUCGUUAAUGCUCUGCUUGUGCUUGAUUGUAGCUGUUCGAAUUUGGUUGUUACUUGUUAGCGCUAUGGGGUUGCUAUCAAUCUUGUAUUGACAGCUUGCUUGCAGAAAAUCACUAGAUAUUUUUGGCUGAUCGGCGCCGUGGAAUUUCGAUUGUGUACUGGGUGCUUGGUUUCUAUAUGACUAGGCAGUUUGCUCUUCCAUCUAUCGCACAGCGCCACAUCUUGGCUGGUCUGGCAUCAGCAGUUGACGGUCUGAGUGCACCAUAUGAAAGAGCAUCAUGUAUUCAUGAAAGACAUGUAGUGAACUGGCUGUGGGCUGCAGGCUGUCAUCCGUUUGGACCAUUCUCGAACUCCUCCCAGAUCAGUCAAAUUCUUUAGGAUGUAGCACUGGUAAUGUUAUCAACAACAUUUUUUUAUUUCUAUGAUAUGUACAAUGAGUAGGCAGGGAGCGAGGGAGGUCAAUGCUCCUAUGUCGAAGUGCAGCUUAAAGUAGAAAAUCUGUUCAUGCUUCCAAUGGUUUGCACAGUGCAUAGGUAUGCAAACCAACAAAGGAAAACGAGGCCAAACUAUGCCCCAAUUGUUUCUGUCUGAGUUUGCCAGUUUCAAUUUUUUGGAUCAACAUAACUUGGGUAUGUUGGAAAUAAUCCCGUGUCUAGGUUCAUAGCAUUUACUUUAGCUAAAUUUCAGCAUGGAAUAAUAGGAAGUAAUAUGCUGAUUAGUUGAGUAAUAUCCUGCAUUUAUUAGGGGCUAUCAUUGCUUUAUUUGUAGCUCACAUUGGUUAUAAUAGUAGUAGUAGAAGAGAAAAUAGAAAAGGCAAGCCAUUCCAGCCACCAAAAACACUUGUACUAUGUUCCUGUGACCUUUUGGAGGCUUUCAACCUGUCAGGAAUCAGGAUAUUUGAUGCAUCCAAUUAUCUAAAUCCAACAAAUCUUGGUAUUAUGCUUACUGUAUAAUCAUGGUCGUAUUAUUUUUUAGUCUGUUGAUAUUUCACUGGCAUAAAUUGUUUCUUCUGUGCUUUCAUAUCCACUAUGUAACCCAUGUUUUAUUGUUUGUAGAGAACUACAAUUUAUGCUCAAGUCAAUGCUGCUCUUCGCAAAAUAAGAGACACAUCAGAGUUUGUCCAAUCUUUUGCAUCAGAGCAUCUUAAGACGCCAUUAGAAGAACUUGUGAAAGGUAAUAAAAACAAGUCCACCACUGAGUUAUGGGUAGAGAAAUUCUAUAAGAAGGUAACCAAUCUACCGGAGCCUUUUCCCCAUGAUCUUGUUGAGAAGUUAGAAGAAUACCUGGAUAAACUUGAAGGGCAACCCGUGGACUUGUCUUCCUUAUUGUAUGACCACCAGCUGAUCGAUGCAUAUCAAAACAGUACCGACAUCCUGCAAAGCACUAUUUUUACACAACAGUAUGUGGAACGUGUUCUAGCUAACGAGAGAGACAAGAUGAAAUGCUGUAGCAUUGAAUAUAGUCAUCCAAAGCAGUCAUCCCAGGCUUUUGUCUAUGGAGGGAUCCUUCUGGCUGGAUUUAUUGUGUAUUCACUGGUUAUUUUCUUCUCUUCACCUGUUCGCUAAUUUUAUGUCCAGAUGAAGAAAGUCCUGGAUGCUUUAUGGUAGGCUAGGUUUGUCUAGGGUUGUCAAUCUUCAUGAGGGAAUGACCUAGACCGUCUUGGAUAUAGAAGGGCUUUGGCACAGUUUUAGUGCGCUAUUUCGCGAUACACAAGCAAUCAGACGUCUGAUAUAUAUGUAACUGAUUCUUGUCUGCGAUAAACUAUAGUCGAUUUCACAGAAGAGUAGGUGCAUGCUAUGAAAAUAUGAAAUACUUUCCCCCAUUUUGCAACUUGUUACUGCAGAACUGCACAUAACACCACUGACAGAAACCCGUUUGUUAUUAAGCCCCCCAGCUUCAUGUGGACCAGCCAGCAGACCUGUGGCCGUGGAGUGGUGCAAGGGCGUAGUCGCUUUAUUUCAUGGCAAUCAUCUCCAAAAAUUAUUUUCCUUGGCUCGUGUGUUUUUUAUCCUUUUGAAAAUUGCCUGACGCCAAGGCUCCACCAUACGCCUGAAGCGCUGAGGCCUCAAUGUCCAGCGUGUUUCAAUAUAAAAGAUUGCUUUUAGCUAGGGCAAUGGUGGUUGUGCAAGCAGUAUUUAGGUGCAAACGUGCAAGCAAGUUCUCUGGUCCGUUUUGAUUUGUUCCAUCCUGCUAUAUAUUUUGCACCAGUUUAUAAUUAUCUUUUGGCACAUGAUCACUACAUAUGUGAGUUGGCUCCAAUAAUUUAACUUUGAUUCCAUGGAACAUUUUAUUUUCAUCCGGACACUUCUGUCUUUCUCAUAAAAUUUUUAUUGCUUGUAAAUUUACUAUUGGUGCUCAAAUAUUCUUUGCUUCAUCAAAAAAAUUCCUUGAUCAGUUCUGGUGAUUAUAACAAUUUUAGUUUUUUGGUUAUAACUUUUUCCUUUCUCAGAACAUUUCUCUUUGCUUGGAGCAUUUUCCUUAGUAUUUAGAACAAUUUAUUUUUUGAUCGAUUUUUUUCUUUGCUCAGAUCAAUGCUUGUUGCAACAUCAUAGUGCACCUGAUGGGGAAUCCAACAUGUUUCACGUGACAUGUAGGGGAAGGCAUCGAAAAAGGUGAAGGUUGUAGAAAAGGGCCCUAAAAAGGGCACGAUGAAAGCCCAACUUGCUAAGAGAGGUAGGAAGGCUAAGAAUUGAUGACAUGUUGAUUUCCUCGUCAGAGAAAAAAAUGCUAUAGCAACAAAGAUGAGAAUUCUUCAACGCAUUAGCCAUCGUUGUGAGGCGCAUCAUCAAUUCAACAUCAUGUAGUGCUGGUUUUAGAGAGAAAGGCAACAUGUAAAGCUAUAAAUGUUGUGUACUCUACGAGUGUUCAGCUUUGGAUCAUUGAAAAGAUCAAGAUGUUGAACUAAAGUUGAA